CCUACGGGUCGCACCAGUGGGGAAUAUUGCACAAUGGGCGCAAGCCUGACGCAGCCAUGCCGCGUGUGUGAAGAAGGUCUUCGGGUUGUAAAGCACUUUCAGCGGGGAGGAAGGCGGUGAGGUUAAUAACCUCAUCGAUUGACGUUACCCGCAGAAGAAGCACCGGCUAACUCCGUGCCAGCAGCCGCGGUAAUACGGAGGGUGCAAGCGUUAAUCGGAAUUACUGGGCGUAAAGCGCACGCAGGCGGUCUGUCAAGUCGGAUGUGAAAUCCCCGGGCUCAACCUGGGAACUGCAUUCGAAGCUGGCAGGCUAGUGUCUUGUAGAGGGGGGUAGAAUUUCAGGUGUAGCGGUGAAAUGCGUAGAGAUCUGGAGGAAUACCGAUGGCGAAGGCAGCCAUCUGGCCUAACACUGACGCUGAGGUGCGAAAGCAUGGGGAGCAAACAGGAUUAGAUACCCGUGUAGUC
Molecule: ribosomal RNA, 465 nt
Filed under: uncultured bacterium
Lineage: Bacteria
Description: bacterial SSU rRNA
Rfam family: Bacterial small subunit ribosomal RNA
Source: RNAcentral